UUGGAUUUCGCUGAGAGCCUGGGGAGAAUAGGAAAGUUGAGUGCAAUGCUCACACGGUCACGCCGCUGUGAAGGAGGAGCUGUAUUUUUCCAUGGCAGACAAGGUCUGCAGACCACUGGAGUAAUCUGGGAAGGUCGAAAGUACAGCGUGGAUUCCCAAGUCAGAAGACCUGCCUUACAC
RNAcentral lists this non-coding RNA (180 nucleotides) under uncultured Blautia sp. Lineage: Bacteria; Bacillati; Bacillota; Clostridia; Lachnospirales; Lachnospiraceae. The record is from RNAcentral.